RNAcentral lists this non-coding RNA (184 nucleotides) under Ureibacillus massiliensis. Its description in RNAcentral is "Lysinibacillus massiliensis Lysine sequence". It matches the Rfam family "Lysine riboswitch aptamer". From Rfam's summary of the family: Riboswitches are metabolite binding domains within certain messenger RNAs that serve as precision sensors for their corresponding targets. Lineage: Bacteria; Bacillati; Bacillota; Bacilli; Caryophanales; Caryophanaceae. RNAcentral also lists the same sequence under 1 other name. The record is from RNAcentral.
UGUUUAGAUAGAGGUGCAAGAUUCAAAAGUAGCUAGCAGGAGGAGAACAAUUCCUAAGAAUGCAGGUGAAAGGGAAGCCUUGCCGAAGCAGUAAAUUGAUUGUUCCAAUUUAUAUGCUGGUGUUGCAUUUAAUAGAUGUAACAUUGUCAGAGUCAAUUUUAGAUUCUGGAGAGCUAUCUCAUAA